RNAcentral lists this transfer RNA (88 nucleotides) under Monostroma nitidum. RNAcentral describes it as "tRNA-Ser". It matches the Rfam family "tRNA". From Rfam's summary of the family: Transfer RNA (tRNA) molecules are approximately 80 nucleotides in length. Their secondary structure includes four short double-helical elements and three loops (D, anti-codon, and T loops). RNAcentral also lists the same sequence under 1 other name. Lineage: Eukaryota; Viridiplantae; Chlorophyta; Ulvophyceae; Ulvales; Monostromataceae. The record is from RNAcentral.
GGAAAGGUGACAGAGUUGGUCGAUUGUACCGGUUUUGAAAACCGGCGUGGUUGCAAGGCCACCGAGGGUUCGAAUCCCUCCCUUUCCG